UUUUUUUAGGUCACUUUUUUAUAUUAUUUUUUAUUUUAUCGUUCAAAACUUGAUUCUUUUUAAAAUUAAACUUUUUUUUCCUUAUCUAUCUUCUAUUGAAUUAUCCUAUUCGUAUGAUCCUACUCGCAAGUUUUGACGACCUCAUCUAGUUUUGCUGGUGCUUUGUUUUUAAAUUAUUUUUUUCAUUGAUUUUUUUUAUUUCAUCAUUUUACAUUUUGAUUAUUAGGAAUUGACAAUCAUUAUUUUUUUCAAUUAUCUUUCUAUGAUGUCGAGUGAUAGAUUUUUUUUCUUCUUCAAAAUACAUUGGGUGUGCUUGAGAUUGUUUUUUUACAUUGAAAAAAAAUUACCACUGCAUGUGGCGAAGCGUGAGCCAACUAUCUCGUAAUAAACUAUUGUUAUUACCAUUAUUAUCACUAUUAGUAUUAUUAUUGUUGAUAUUAUUAGUAUCAUAAUAUUACAAUUACCAUUACUAUUACUAUUAUUGAAAUAAAAAAAUCAUAAACUUGAUUUGAAGGAUAAAAUAAAAAAUUAUAAAAACUUUGACAAAAAAAGCAAAGGAAAAAAAAAGAAAUCAAAAGAAGAAGAACCAAAUUGAAAUCAAUAUUAUUCUUAUCGGAAAAAAAAAUCAUAAACUUGAUUUGAAGGAUAAAACUGAAAAUCAUAAAAAAUUAACAAAAAAACAAAAGAAAGAAUAAAAAAUCAAAAAUAGAAGGACAAAAAUAGAAGGACCGAAUCGAAAGAAUUAUAUAUAUAUAUAUAUAUAUAAAUUUAACAAAAUCAAAAAAUAACAAAAAUCAAAACUAAAAAGAAUGAAUUCGACACCAACAACAAUGAUGAUUGAAGUUUAUUUUUUAGGGCAGGAGAGAGAAAUAAAAGGGAGAAAAAGAGUAACCGGUGACAAACCAAUCACUUUUAAAUGACAUGCGUUGCCUAAAAGGCACGACGUCUUCCACGCGUUCUAUUUAAAAAUUAUUAAUUAAAUAAUAAGUUAUGUUAUUGCCCUUAAUUAAACCAAUAAUUACAAAAAACCGAGAUAAAAAUACUUCAAUACCCCUAUUUCAAUGACUUAAAUGUUUUUGACCCUAAGGUCAUAUACAUAAUCUUAUUGUAUAUUAAAAAAUAAAAAGACAAAACACCGGUUGGCACGUCACUCGGCUCUUCGGCGUGCUUCGAUUGCAAACUAAAUUUGCCUUAGACGCAUGUCUCAGCAACACAAAAUGAGGGUUUCGCUCGUUAUAGGACUUGACCAAACAUCUCACGACACGAGCUGACGACAGCUAUGCAACACCUGUAUGAAAGUAAGUACCAUCCCGUUAAGGUUUUGUUGUUCAUAUGUCAAGGGUUGGUAAGGUUUUGCGCGUUGUAUCGAAUUAAACCAUAUGCUCCACCGCUUGUGCAGGCCCCCGUCAAUUCCUUUGAGUUUCAGUCUUGCGACCGUACUUCCCAGGCGAAGU
Molecule: long non-coding RNA, 1454 nt
Filed under: Populus trichocarpa (black cottonwood)
Lineage: Eukaryota; Viridiplantae; Streptophyta; Magnoliopsida; Malpighiales; Salicaceae
Description: long non-coding RNA (PTRI_LNC004537)
Source: RNAcentral